RNAcentral lists this ribosomal RNA (328 nucleotides) under uncultured eukaryote. RNAcentral's name for it is "partial 18S ribosomal RNA". It matches the Rfam family "Eukaryotic small subunit ribosomal RNA", at positions 1470 to 1796 of the family's 1831-position model. The record is from RNAcentral.
CCCUUAGAUGUUCUGGGCCGCACGCGCGCUACACUGAUACGUUCAGCGAGUAUAUAACCUUGAUUGGAAAAUCUGGGUAAUCUUUUGAAUGCGUAUCGUGCUAGGGAUAGAUUAUUGCAAUUAUUAAUCUUGAACGAGGAAUUCCUAGUAAACGCAAGUCAUCAGCUUGCAUUGAUUACGUCCCUGCCCUUUGUACACACCGCCUGUCGCACAAACCGAUUGAAUGAUUCGGUGAAAAUUUUGGACAUCGAGAGUGGUGAUUAAUUUCGCUGCUCUUAAAUGGAAAGAAUUUAAACCUAAUUAUUUAGAGGAGUGUGAAGUCAUAACA